AAGAACUGAAGAGAGUGCAAGUGUGCAACAGAAGAGAAGGAACAGCAACAGCAAAUAGUGGAAAACAGUAAGGUUCUUCUUCUUUUUCUUUUGAUUGUAAUGUAAUCUAUGCAAAUAAAAUUGAAUGUUAGUUGGAUUUAAUGAAUUUAUUAUCAAUCUGAACUCAAACCUAGUUCAGAUGGCAAUUUGAGAAGCUGAAUAUAAAAUUAUGGACAAUGAAGCCUAUGGUAGUUUGAAACUAAAAUUAGAAACCAUUAGCAUAUUUCAAAUAUUUGGACAAGCAAGUCUAUUCGCUAUGGUAAUCAAUAAUAAGAAAAUUGGCACUUUUACAGGAAUAUUGAAUAUGUUUCCAAUGGAUUUCAAAUUGUUCAUGUACUCUAUAUAUAUGUAUUGUUAAGAUUAACAUAUUUGAAAUCUUCCACAGGGCACAUUAAUGCAAUAACAUAUUGUUUAGUUCAUAACACUCACAUUUUGUUAUCCCAUAUCACCUUCUUUUUUUUUUUUUUUUUUUUUUUAAAUAAAUGGGGCAUUUUAACAACGAAGGUCAAGACCAGCAGCAUAAUUCAUGACAGUGAGAGUUAUCUCCACUGUGAACUGCCCUGGCCAGGUUACAUGUAGCACUAAGACUGUAUAUCCCCUGAACCAUAUAAAGAACAACUGUGAAAAUACAAACAAUAUAACUAAACCUUGAGCCCCUAAGACUCUGCAGCCGGCCUUAUGGAUAAAUGUACAGGCUUGCAGACUCUGAAACUGGUCCCUAUGGUGUUAUAUUCAUCGUUCGGUAUCGAAAUGAUAUUCGUUAUUAAGUAGAUAGCCACCAGACCAAUACCAAACUGCCGCCUUCACGUUACUAAUUGCUUUAUUUAAGUCCAUGAUCUUUCCUUAGAAAACAGCUCGGUUUCUAUAUUUCCAAAUGAUCCAUAAGAUGGCAAAAGGGAGAGACUGAGAGAGACCCAGAUCUUUGCUCCUAGACCAGUUCCUGGAAAGGAAGGCCAUUGUUCAAGUAGUUCUUGGAUCAGAUUAAAGGUCUGUCAGCAUUGCAUCUGUGUCAACUACAUUCUCCAACGCUUCACACCAAAUCAAUCUUGAAUGACCACACUUCACACCAACACUUCUCGAUUGAAGGUAAGUUAGUCUUUCUAUAACUGUACUAUAUAACUAUAAUAUGACGAUAGUCCCACAUCGAUUAAGAAAGACUUGAUUUGUCAGGACCAUUACUACAUAAGUUCUUCUAGUUAUCAAUUCAGGUCAUUGUCUUGUGCAUUUCCUUUUUGAUCUAGAUCAUGGGAAUCUGCAAUUGCAUCUCCAUCCAUUUGGCUUGCUGCGUACAGGUAUUAACAUCUUUCUAUCCUUUGUUUUGAUGUUAGGUUGAUGUUCUCUUAGAUUAUUUUGUUUGAUUGUUAUUGGCUUAUUUUGUUGGCUUUUUAUUUCCUUUCACGUAGUACUUUUCAUCUAUUUCUUUCUAAUUUGAAUGAAGUUCAUGUUCUUAUAUUGUUACCUUUUUAAUAUCCUUCUUAAUUUACAUAUGGUUAAUAUCGCACAAAAUUUUACGUCUAGUUAGGUUAGUGACCGACUGUCAUGCUAGUCCAUGAAAAAAUGUUAUACGACCUCUGGAGAGCAACCCUAAAGUUGGGUCAACUACUAGUAUUUGCAAGCUCGCCUUCAUUAAUUGGUUUGAGUCUAUAAAAUCUAACCUAUAGUUUUUUCAAUACCCCUUGCGUUAGUGGCAAUGCUAUUACAGUUUUUUCUCUCCGAAUAUUUUCAUUUAGAAGGAUGCCACAAGAGAUUUCAUUUUAAAAGACACUCGGGUUAAGAUCUUAGAUAAUACUGUAAUUGACCUUUUAUAUCUUAAGCACUGCCUUAAUUGUAGGCUCACAUAGUGAAGUUUAAAUCAUUCCUUAUUUUUCUCGUGUUCAUCAGCCAAAUUGUAGGAAUAAUACCUAUAGAAAAAGUUAUGUAGACCUGACUCACUCAUCAUGAAACUGUCUAGUAUAUGUAUAUCAUCUUAUGAGUCUGCCAUGUUCUGUCUACAACCUUUUGAAGGGGAGAUGAAGGAACAACAAGAUGGCUAUGGGUUGAGAUUUCCAUUCUAAAAUUGGUAGAAAUAGUAUGGAUAACACCUGCCUCAAUGAAGGAUUUCAUACAAUCUUGGUACUUUGGGGUUGUACUCUCUAAAGAUAAUUCAUCAUCUGUAGGUCUUUGUUAUAAUCUGUUGGGGCAUGGGGCUAAUCAUUGGAGAGGAACAAGGGGAUGUCGAGAUGUGGAAUUGCAUCAUUCCUAUGUUGAUCAGGCAUCCUUUAUCUAUUUGGGUUUAAAUUGUUGGGAGACCUACAGAGUGCUUUCUUGCUUAUUUGUACGUAGUCCAGAAGCUACAUGUAUUAUUUUGGGGUUUGUUGUGCCUUUGGGGGAUGGUACUCCGUUUCUUAUGUUUUCACAUAGCCCCACCACAUCCUACAACUUCUUAAUUUGUUUACUAAAAGAUUAAAACUAUUGUACUGUUUAAAAGAAAAGGAUUGUUCUUCAUAAAUAAUGUUACAUACUGUAUAUUGUAUCCUUAUUACACUAGUAAUCCCAUAUAAGACUCU
This 2585-nucleotide long non-coding RNA is filed under the name Aquilegia coerulea. Its description in RNAcentral is "long non-coding RNA (ACOE_LNC000817)". Lineage: Eukaryota; Viridiplantae; Streptophyta; Magnoliopsida; Ranunculales; Ranunculaceae. The record is from RNAcentral.